GACCGGCGCGGGUGCUGGAGGUCAGCAGGGGCCGUGGGCGGUGGACGCUGGAAUGCCUUGGGUUCCGAGGGACCCAGCUGCCUGAAUGGACACGAGUAGGAGGUUUUUGCUGGGCGUCUUUGCGGUGGCGGGAAGCGGUGAGGGAGGGAAAGAAGGAUACAAGCUCAAGGGGCAGGCCGGGUGCACCAUCCAUCCCCGUGCCCUCGGGUCAUCUCAGGGAGACUGUGGGAUGAUAGUGCGUUUGUGGGCCACAGUUCACAACGAUGGGCCCUGCAUCGGGUCAGAGGACCCCUCCGGAACAGGGGGAUGCACAAGGUCAAGAGAAUGCAUGGAAUCAGAGGGCUGCACCAGGUCAGGGGGGCUGCACCGAGACCAGAGGAAGCAUCAGGUCAGGAGGAUGCACUGGAGUGUGCAUCCCCAGGGGGCCACACUGGGUAAGGAGGAUGCACCAGGUUAGGAGGCAGCACUGGGUCAGAAGGAUGCACUGGAAUCAGGGGACUGUACCAGGUUGGGGGGCGUGCCUCAGGUCAGGAGGAGGCACUGGGGUCCGGGGGCAACAUUGAGUCAGGGGCAGCCCUAGGUCAGGAGGAUGCAUGGGGUCAGGGGAUGCGCAGGAUCGGGGGAGAUGCCCGGGGUCGUGGG
RNAcentral lists this long non-coding RNA (642 nucleotides) under Homo sapiens (human). RNAcentral describes it as "non-protein coding lnc-IRF4-2:7". The record is from RNAcentral. Lineage: Eukaryota; Metazoa; Chordata; Mammalia; Primates; Hominidae.